Molecule: ribosomal RNA, 492 nt
Filed under: uncultured bacterium
Lineage: Bacteria
Description: partial 16S ribosomal RNA
Rfam family: Bacterial small subunit ribosomal RNA
Source: RNAcentral
AGUGAACGCUGGCGGUAGGCCUAACACAUGCAAGUCGAACGGCAGCACAGUAAGAGCUUGCUCUUACGGGUGGCGAGUGGCGGACGGGUGAGGAAUACAUCGGAAUCUACUUUUUCGUGGGGGAUAACGUAGGGAAACUUACGCUAAUACCGCAUACGACCUACGGGUGAAAGCAGGGGAUCUUCGGACCUUGCGCGAUUGAAUGAGCCGAUGUCGGAUUAGCUAGUUGGCGGGGUAAAGGCCCACCAAGGCGACGAUCCGUAGCUGGUCUGAGAGGAUGAUCAGCCACACUGGAACUGAGACACGGUCCAGACUCCUACGGGAGGCAGCAGUGGGGAAUAUUGGGCAAUGGGCGCAAGCCUGAUCCAGCCAUACCGAGUGGGUGAAGAAGGCCUUCGGGUUGUAAAGCCCUUUUGUUGGGAAAGAAAAGCAGCAGGUUAAUACCACGCUGUUCUGACGGUACCCAAAGAAUAAGCACCGGCUAACUUCGUG